GACAGAGGGUGCGAACGUUGUUCGGAAUUACUGGGCGUAAAGCGCGUGUAGGCUGUUCGGAAAGUCGGGUGUGAAAGCCCUGGGCUCAACCUAGGAAGUGCACUCGAAACUCCCGAACCGGAGUCCCGGAGAGGAAGGCGGAAUUCUCGGUGUAGAGGUGAAAUUCGUAGAUAUCGAGAGGAACAUCGGUGGCGAAGGCGGCCUUCUGGACGGUGACUGACGCUGAGACGCGAAAGCGUGGGGAGCAAACAGG
RNAcentral lists this ribosomal RNA (253 nucleotides) under uncultured bacterium. RNAcentral's name for it is "partial 16S ribosomal RNA". It matches the Rfam family "Bacterial small subunit ribosomal RNA", at positions 524 to 776 of the family's 1533-position model. The record is from RNAcentral.